ACGUUAGUUAAUGGAUACAACAAAAGAAUUUGUAGUAAUUGAAUGAAUAUAAGGUGGGUCUAUGGGUACGAAUGGUAAAUUGACGAUCUUAUAUUAUAAGCCAGAGAACAUUUGAGACUGUUACACGCAUAUAUCGAGGGCUAUCCUUCUUAGAAUAUCACUCUACUUUAUUCGGAUAACUCAAGUUUUCAAGUCAAAAGAAAGCAUCUAGAAAAUGAUUGUUCUUAGUUACAUACUUUUGUCGAAAAGCUGAAACUGUCACAAAUCUUCUGAUUUUUUGUGAAAAAAUCUAAUUUCUAUAAGAAAAAAACAAGGGACCAACCGGAUUUGAACCAGUGACCUGGGGAUCUGCAAUCCCUCACUCUAACCACUGAGCUAUGACCCCUUGCGACAAUUGCAAGGCAAAAAAUGAAUUAUAAGAUCUUUUUACGAUUUUAUUAAGUUGAGCAAUUAGAAAUCAAAGUUUCCGCUAAGGCUCGAAAGAGAAUCUUGCCAAGCUUUGAAUAUAUUUAUAAAGGUUGCUUUAAAUAGCGCGAACGCAACUAUCUGAACAAUUUUUAACGGAAACCGCUUCAGCAGUAAGAAGAAAAUAUUUCUAUUUUAGCAUUCAAAAUGCAGUUACUAAGUAUGAUUGAUUUCAAGGCUUAUUAUAAACCGGCAUUUUACAAUGUACUUAGUAAUUUAUGGAGAUGAGAACUCCUUAAAAUAUAGCUUCGUGAUCCUUCAAAUCCUAUCCAACUCAAUUUACUUGAAAAAUUUGAAAUUUCCGGCGCUCGUUAAUUAUCAAACUGAAAAACCAGCUAAAAGAAUGCGGGCAUUAUUCACCGAAUAGCCUCAAAGUAUCUAACGAUAUCGAUAAGUUAUCUACAGGUGCAAAACUUCCACUGUUAUAAUUGUAACUUUUUCAAGCGGGCUUCGGUUAACAGAAUUUUAUAAACAUGUACAAAUUGCUCAUUUCCUAAGCAAUCCAGAAUUUUGCCUUCACCGACAAAUUACUGAUGAGGAUCACGGCGAAAUGGCAAACUUGAAAAAUGUAAAUUGCAUCUUGCUUCGAAAGCUAUUUCACGCUAAAUUAAUAAUUUUAUAGUAAAAGAAUAAACAAUGCUGAUCUCAAAAUUUGUAUACAUUUGAUAAAAAGGCAUAAUUUUGUUGGGUUCGAUGCUUAGUAAUAAAAUUAUAGUUCGAGAAUAUAUGGUUACUAUAUGGCUAGAGAAAAAUGAUAUUUUUUGAU
This is a non-coding RNA of Schizosaccharomyces pombe (fission yeast), 1231 nucleotides long. NCBI's taxonomy places the organism in Eukaryota, Fungi, Ascomycota, Schizosaccharomycetes, Schizosaccharomycetales, Schizosaccharomycetaceae. The record is from the annotation of a GenBank genome assembly.